AGCUUUCUUGCAGGAUCAGCCUUCGGCCUUGGGCUCUUCCCAGCCUGGCAAGCGCUCGACCGCGCAGCAGGAAUGCAUCCCGGCCCAUCCACCCUCUCCCACUCAUGACCCCUCCAUGGGCAUCCAGUGCAGGUGGAUUAUGGGCUCGUGGAACAGCAUUUGUACAAUUACAUGGAAAAACAAUGAGUAGGAAGGAGGAAACGAGAACCACACCAACACGUCUGGGAGCAGGUUUUUGGGAAUCAGUGUCACCCUUGCCCUCAUCACCCUCGUAAGGACCAUGUCACUGAUAUGUGUGACCCCGGUGAGUCUGGUUUUGCUGGGAGGGAGAUGUUCUGGCACCUCUUUGCCCUCUUUUUGUCGUGGUCCAUCCAUUUUCCUUUCCCAAAUGUCCUUGGUCCCUUUUCCUGCUGUGCCGCAGCCACCAGAUCUGGGAGUCACCAGGAGAAAUGGAGCUGGAAAGUAAAACUGGUACCAAACCCAUCACCGGGUUCUCUCCUGGAGCACAGGGGUGGGCUGUGGCCAUUGGACCUGUAAACUGGAUUUGUUUUAGAGCAUCACAGUAACCAGCAUCAUGCGGCAGUCCAGCUAAGGGCUGUGAGGGGUGGAAUCUGGGGCUCCUUUGUAGGGAUCUUGGCUCCUUUUUUAAAAGUUUGUGCUUUUGAUUUAUGAUUCUGGAAAAUCCAGCUUAUUUGCCAUUUUUUUCCCCCGUUAAGAGGCUUUUUGUUCAUCUCUCGUUCUGGAAGAGAAGUCAACUCAAUGACUGGAGAUGAAAAUAGUUCAAUCAAAUCUCCAUGUUUCUUUUCUGCUUGGGAACCUGGGGGAGCGGGGUGUGGGCUGCACAGCCAAGCUGCUCAGACGGGGAUGGAGAAAACAAACAUGGCGCCUCAUCACUCCCCUGCUCCUGGACCACGAGGUGAUGGAGAUGAUCAUCCUGGCCUCAGCCCUGCCUGCCCUUUUGGGACCAUCUCCUUGUUCCUGGGUGGUGAACUGAAUCAGAUUCCCUGGGCAAAUAUUUGAUACGCAGCACUUCUGUGUGUGUUGGCAAGAACACCAGUGUAUAAUAAGGUGCCGCUGGGUUGACCAUCUGCCCCAGGGCCCUCCAAAGCACCCCUGUGGCAAUAGCACCUCCAAAGCCAUCGUUUAUUCUCUGUGCUCUGGAACUUUAAAGGCAUUUCACCUUGGAAAUACCCUCACGGAGCUGCUCACCGUCACCUGCCUCUUUCUUGUCCCCCCUGUGCCCAGGCUGGGCGGAUCUGCACGGGUACGCGGUGAGAAAUGUCCUUCCACAAAGCGAAGGGCAAGCCCAGCGCCAGGAUUUCCACACCGACGUCUCUUACAACAGCGCUUCUGGCGCAACCGGUUCCUCUCGGUGCGGAGAUGGUAUCAAGUUUGAAGUUCAGGCUGUAUUGACAGAGAUUUUUGUCAACAAAAAGGUGUUGAAGGAUGCCGUGUUUGUGGAAGAAGUCACAAAGAGGUGAAAGAUAUCGCCUUCAGGAGACUCUUUCCUACCAAACAGGUGUUUGCUUGGUUUUUGGCAGGAGCUGGAGGUGUGGACGUGGUGGCUCCCUGCUCCCCAUGCCUUGGCCGGUCCAGCUUGGCAAACAUCCAUCCCACAGUGAUGAUGGUGAUGGUGAGACGUGACGGAGCAGGGGGUGAAGAGCAGAAACCAGAGCGCUCACACAGUGAUCCACCCUGGAACCCUGCCCGGGAAAGUGGGCAUUGCGGCUUCACCAAGUUGUAUUAGGGGACUCAAGUGUCCCAAGUAAGAAACAAGAGUGUUGGUGCUGCCAGGCACAACUAACCACAGGAAAUGAAAUAAAUGGAGUGGGCUGGUGGAAAAGGGCUUUUCCCUCUUGUCUCUCUCUUUUUUUAAUUUCAAUAUGGGUCAAAAAGAUGGGUGGAAGGAUCAGGUCCAGCCUCUGCCAGCCUCCUUCCCUUGGAAAGCUGAAAGAGCCACUCAGCCUCUGAGAUGGUGAUCCCAGCUGGUUUCCACCUUUGGGUUUUCUGUAAGAGUGGCUAUUAUUGUAACCUUGGAGGAAAACGAACCGUUUUGGGGUUUAUCAGAGGUUUUACCAAAUACAGAGCCACCAGUUUUGAUCAGGAAAGCAGAUUCUCCACGAGGAGCUGUGCAGGACUAGGUCGGUGCCUCCUGUCUUUACUCAGUGCUCUGCUAAUGUGCCCAGGAGAAUUCAAUUAAAGUGUUGUUUUUCAGAUAGGUGCAAUAGAAAAAUAGAGCAUGGUGUCUCCUCUUGACAUAAUGAUCAAAACAGGAGUGCGAGAGGCUGAAUCCAGACUGGUCCUACAUUUAUCUCAGUGCUGGGACCAGGUAACCCAGCACAAAUGUUGUUUCAAGGCUUUUUUGGUGUCUCCCAGCCCUGAGCGAGGCGAUCAGAGGAUGCUCCCUUCAUGCAGCCCCCGGGUUGUGUGGGACAUGGACUGUCUCCUCCUCCUGUCGAGGACACAGGUGUGAACACAAGGCCACCUUUGCCCAGGUAAGAGCAACAUUUAGCUUUCUUUUUCCUCCAAAUGUCACCUGUUUUCACUCAAUUUUCCGCAGUGAUGGUUUCGUGCCUCCUAUGAGGCUCUGGGCUCCCCUGCAUCCCGCUGCAGCGUGUGGCACUUAACCCCGCGUGCCCGUGCUCCGGCCUGGUUUGCGUCCUGCAGCAGCGAGGCCAGAGCCUUGUCUCAUCUAAUCAGGGCCAGGAGAGCAAACAGGCAAAAAACCCACUUGUAAAAAACAAAGUCAACACCGCUUUGGCAGUUGAGAAAAGCUGAGGGGUCUGGUCCAUGAUGUUUGAAUUUUUGCAGGGAUGCACGUCAA
Molecule: long non-coding RNA, 2824 nt
Organism: Columba livia (rock pigeon)
Lineage: Eukaryota; Metazoa; Chordata; Aves; Columbiformes; Columbidae
Exons: 4
Source: RefSeq, a predicted model, not a curated record